RNAcentral lists this ribosomal RNA (2015 nucleotides) under metagenome. Its description in RNAcentral is "bacterial LSU rRNA". It matches the Rfam family "Bacterial large subunit ribosomal RNA", at positions 482 to 2487 of the family's 2925-position model. The record is from RNAcentral.
GACCGAUAGUGAACCAGUACCGUGAGGGAAAGGCGAAAAGAACCCCGGAGAGGGGAGUGAAAUAGAACCUGAAACCGUAUGCGUACAAGCAGUGGGAGCCUACUUUGUUAGGUGACUGCGUACCUUUUGUAUAAUGGGUCAGCGACUUAUUUUCAGUGGCAAGCUUAACCGAAUAGGGGAGGCGUAGCGAAAGCGAGUCUUAAUAGGGCGUCUAGUCGCUGGGAAUAGACCCGAAACCGGGCGAUCUAUCCAUGGGCAGGUUGAAGGUUAGGUAACACUGACUGGAGGACCGAACCGACUACCGUUGAAAAGUUAGCGGAUGACCUGUGGAUCGGAGUGAAAGGCUAAUCAAGCUCGGAGAUAGCUGGUUCUCCUCGAAAGCUAUUUAGGUAGCGCCUCAUGUAUCACUGUAGGGGGUAGAGCACUGUUUCGGCUAGGGGGUCAUCCCGACUUACCAAACCGAUGCAAACUCCGAAUACCUAUGAGUACUAUCCGGGAGACAGACUGCGGGUGCUAACGUCCGUAGUCAAGAGGAAAACAAUCCAGACCGCCAGCUAAGGCCCCAAAAUCAUAGUUAAGUGGGAAACGAUGUGGGAAGGCAUAGACAGCUAGGAGGUUGGCUUAGAAGCAGCCACCCUUUAAAGAAAGCGUAAUAGCUCACUAGUCGAGUCGGCCUGCGCGGAAGAUGUAACGGGGCUAAAACUAUGUGCCGAAGCUGCGGAUGUAACUUUAAGUUACGUGGUAGGGGAGCGUUCUGUAAGCCGAUGAAGGUGGAUUGAGAAGUCUGCUGGAGGUAUCAGAAGUGCGAAUGCUGACGUGAGUAACGACAAAACGGGUGAAAAACCCGUUCGCCGAAAGACCAAGGGUUCCAGUCCAACGUUAAUCGGGGCUGGGUGAGUCGACCCCUAAGGCGAGGCCGAAAGGCGUAGUCGAUGGGAAAUUGGUUAAUAUUCCAAUACUUCUGUGUAAUGCGAUGAGAGGACGGAGAAGGUUAGGUCAGCCUGGCGUUGGUUGUCCAGGUGGAAGACAGUAGGCAUGCAUCUUAGGCAAAUCCGGGGUGCUCUAUGCUGAGAGUCGAUAGCAAGCUAGUUUACUAGCGAAGUGGCUGAUACCAUACUUCCAAGAAAAGUCUCUAAGCUUCAGUUACACAGGAAUCGUACCCGAAACCGACACAGGUGGUCAGGUCGAGUAGACCAAGGCGCUUGAGAGAACUCUGCUGAAGGAACUAGGCAAAAUGGUACCGUAACUUCGGGAGAAGGUACGCUGUUGAUGGUGAUGGGACUUGCUCCCUGAGCGAUUGACAGCCGCAGAAACCAGGCCGCUGCAACUGUUUAUUAAAAACAUAGCACUCUGCAAACACGAAAGUGGACGUAUAGGGUGUGAUGCCUGCCCGGUGCUGGAAGGUUAAUUGAUGGGGUUAGCGUAAGCGAAGCUCUUGAUCGAAGCCCCAGUAAACGGCGGCCGUAACUAUAACGGUCCUAAGGUAGCGAAAUUCCUUGUCGGGUAAGUUCCGACCUGCACGAAUGGCAUAAUGAUGGCGGCGCUGUCUCCAGCAGAGGCUCAGUGAAAUCGAAAUCGCUGUGAAGAUGCAGUGUACCCGCGGCUAGACGGAAAGACCCCGUGAACCUUUACUGCAGCUUGACAUUGAACUUUGACCUUACUUGUGUAGGAUAGGUGGGAGGCUUUGAAGAUGGGACGCCAGUUCCAUUGGAGCCAUCCUUGAAAUACCACCCUGGUAAUGUUGAGGUUCUAACUCUGCCCCGUAAUCCGGGGCGAGGACCAUGUCUGGUGGGUAGUUUGACUGGGGCGGUCUCCUCCUAAAGAGUAACGGAGGAGUACGAAGGUGCGCUCAGCGUGGUCGGAAAUCACGCGUAGAGUAUAAAGGCAAAAGCGCGCUUAACUGCGAGACCCACAAGUCGAGCAGGUACGAAAGUAGGUCUUAGUGAUCCGGUGGUUCUGUAUGGAAGGGCCAUCGCUCAACGGAUAAAAGGUACUCCGGGGAUAACAGGCUGAUA